RNAcentral lists this ribosomal RNA (2319 nucleotides) under Escherichia coli. RNAcentral's name for it is "partial 23S ribosomal RNA". It matches the Rfam family "Bacterial large subunit ribosomal RNA", at positions 644 to 2925 of the family's 2925-position model. Lineage: Bacteria; Pseudomonadati; Pseudomonadota; Gammaproteobacteria; Enterobacterales; Enterobacteriaceae. The record is from RNAcentral.
GGUUAACCGAAUAGGGGAGCCGAAGGGAAACCGAGUCUUAACUGGGCGUUAAGUUGCAGGGUAUAGACCCGAAACCCGGUGAUCUAGCCAUGGGCAGGUUGAAGGUUGGGUAACACUAACUGGAGGACCGAACCGACUAAUGUUGAAAAAUUAGCGGAUGACUUGUGGCUGGGGGUGAAAGGCCAAUCAAACCGGGAGAUAGCUGGUUCUCCCCGAAAGCUAUUUAGGUAGCGCCUCGUGAAUUCAUCUCCGGGGGUAGAGCACUGUUUCGGCAAGGGGGUCAUCCCGACUUACCAACCCGAUGCAAACUGCGAAUACCGGAGAAUGUUAUCACGGGAGACACACGGCGGGUGCUAACGUCCGUCGUGAAGAGGGAAACAACCCAGACCGCCAGCUAAGGUCCCAAAGUCAUGGUUAAGUGGGAAACGAUGUGGGAAGGCCCAGACAGCCAGGAUGUUGGCUUAGAAGCAGCCAUCAUUUAAAGAAAGCGUAAUAGCUCACUGGUCGAGUCGGCCUGCGCGGAAGAUGUAACGGGGCUAAACCAUGCACCGAAGCUGCGGCAGCGACGCUGAUGCGUUGUUGGGUAGGGGAGCGUUCUGUAAGCCUGUGAAGGUGCGCUGUGAGGCAUGCUGGAGGUAUCAGAAGUGCGAAUGCUGACAUAAGUAACGAUAAAGCGGGUGAAAAGCCCGCUCGCCGGAAGACCAAGGGUUCCUGUCCAACGUUAAUCGGGGCAGGGUGAGUCGACCCCUAAGGCGAGGCCGAAAGGCGUAGUCGAUGGGAAACAGGUUAAUAUUCCUGUACUUGGUGUUACUGCGAAGGGGGGACGGAGAAGGCUAUGUUGGCCGGGCGACGGUUGUCCCGGUUUAAGCGUGUAGGCUGGUUUUCCAGGCAAAUCCGGAAAAUCAAGGCUGAGGCGUGAUGACGAGGUACUACGGUGCUGAAGCAACAAAUGCCCUGCUUCCAGGAAAAGCCUCUAAGCAUCAGGUAACAUCAAAUCGUACCCCAAACCGACACAGGUGGUCAGGUAGAGAAUACCAAGGCGCUUGAGAGAACUCGGGUGAAGGAACUAGGCAAAAUGGUGCCGUAACUUCGGGAGAAGGCACGCUGAUAUGUAGGUGAAGUCCCUCGCGGAUGGAGCUGAAAUCAGUCGAAGAUACCAGCUGGCUGCAACUGUUUAUUAAAAACACAGCACUGUGCAAACACGAAAGUGGACGUAUACGGUGUGACGCCUGCCCGGUGCCGGAAGGUUAAUUGAUGGGGUCAGCGCAAGCGAAGCUCUUGAUCGAAGCCCCGGUAAACGGCGGCCGUAACUAUAACGGUCCUAAGGUAGCGAAAUUCCUUGUCGGGUAAGUUCCGACCUGCACGAAUGGCGUAAUGAUGGCCAGGCUGUCUCCACCCGAGACUCAGUGAAAUUGAACUCGCUGUGAAGAUGCAGUGUACCCGCGGCAAGACGGAAAGACCCCGUGAACCUUUACUAUAGCUUGACACUGAACAUUGAGCCUUGAUGUGUAGGAUAGGUGGGAGGCUUUGAAGUGUGGACGCCAGUCUGCAUGGAGCCGACCUUGAAAUACCACCCUUUAAUGUUUGAUGUUCUAACGUUGACCCGUAAUCCGGGUUGCGGACAGUGUCUGGUGGGUAGUUUGACUGGGGCGGUCUCCUCCUAAAGAGUAACGGAGGAGCACGAAGGUUGGCUAAUCCUGGUCGGACAUCAGGAGGUUAGUGCAAUGGCAUAAGCCAGCUUGACUGCGAGCGUGACGGCGCGAGCAGGUGCGAAAGCAGGUCAUAGUGAUCCGGUGGUUCUGAAUGGAAGGGCCAUCGCUCAACGGAUAAAAGGUACUCCGGGGAUAACAGGCUGAUACCGCCCAAGAGUUCAUAUCGACGGCGGUGUUUGGCACCUCGAUGUCGGCUCAUCACAUCCUGGGGCUGAAGUAGGUCCCAAGGGUAUGGCUGUUCGCCAUUUAAAGUGGUACGCGAGCUGGGUUUAGAACGUCGUGAGACAGUUCGGUCCCUAUCUGCCGUGGGCGCUGGAGAACUGAGGGGGGCUGCUCCUAGUACGAGAGGACCGGAGUGGACGCAUCACUGGUGUUCGGGUUGUCAUGCCAAUGGCACUGCCCGGUAGCUAAAUGCGGAAGAGAUAAGUGCUGAAAGCAUCUAAGCACGAAACUUGCCCCGAGAUGAGUUCUCCCUGACUCCUUGAGAGUCCUGAAGGAACGUUGAAGACGACGACGUUGAUAGGCCGGGUGUGUAAGCGCAGCGAUGCGUUGAGCUAACCGGUACUAAUGAACCGUGAGGCUUAACCUUACAACGCCGAAGGUGUUU